RNAcentral lists this ribosomal RNA (253 nucleotides) under uncultured bacterium. RNAcentral's name for it is "partial 16S ribosomal RNA". It matches the Rfam family "Bacterial small subunit ribosomal RNA", at positions 524 to 776 of the family's 1533-position model. The record is from RNAcentral.
UACGUAGGGUGCAAGCGUUAAUCGGAAUUACUGGGCGUAAAGCGUGCGCAGGCGGCUUUGCAAGACAGAUGUGAAAUCCCCGGGCUUAACCUGGGAACUGCAUUUGUGACUGCAAGGCUGGAGUGCGGCAGAGGGGGAUGGAAUUCCGCGUGUAGCAGUGAAAUGCGUAGAUAUGCGGAGGAACACCGAUGGCGAAGGCAAUCCCCUGGGCCUGCACUGACGCUCAUGCACGAAAGCCAGGGGAGCGAACGGG